GGAUAUUUAUUUUCACUUAGAAAUUUUUUUUUGGUGCUCCCCGGUAAGAAAAGGGAAAAGUUUAUAUAGAGCUGAGGCUCUAAACGAGCAUAUUUGAGCUUACUUCAAAAUUUUUAAUAGAAAAGGUUGUUUUGAUGCCCAAAUAUCUUCCAAUUGAUCAUCAAAAUGCAUGGACACGAGUUCAAAAUUUUCAUUAGAAAAGGUUGUUUUGAUGCCCAAAUAUCUUCCAAUUGAUCAUCAAAAUGCAUGGACACGAGCUCAAAAUUUUCAUUAGAAAAGGUUGUUUUGAUGCCCAAAUAUCUUCCAAUUGAUCAUCAAAAUGCAUGGACACGAGCUCAAAAUUUUCAUUAGAAAAGGUUGUUUUGUUGCCCAAAUAUCUUCAAAUUGAUCAUCAAAAUGCCUGGACACGAGAAAAAAAUAGAUUUCAAGUUUUGAAAAUAGUGUAUUUUGCAAUACAUUUCAAGAUCGUCAAUUUUCAACAUUUUCAAGUUUUCAAAGAUAUGUCGAUCUACAUUUUUUUUUAAUCCUUAAGAUUUCUAAAUAAAUAUGAAAAUAUAUUUUAAGGCUAUCACAAGUAUUUCCGGUAUUGAAACCACAUUUCUCAAUACUAUUUGAAGGUAGGUUCUAAUUUGAUUGUUUAGAGCCUAUGCUCUAUACAAACCACACCCAUAAGAAAAUGGGACAUCCUAAAUUUCAGUCGAAAAUCUUUUGUAGAGAAAGAGAACUAAAAUUCAAGGAGCAUUUUGGCAUAUUGCAUCGUUUUCACUCAAAAAGUUUUGUAGCAAAAAAAAACUAAAAAAACAAGCAACGAUUUAAUCCUAGCCAUUAAGUAAGAUUGAGUGGCUAAGAAAUAGGGUCACCUAUAAUUUAUAUGUGAGUAGGGUCGCCUAAAAAGCUUUCCCAUUGAGGAAAAUUUAAGGUGUCAACCUCAUACCACUGAAGUAAAAUUAUGUCGAAGUAAGGUCCACCAGCAAAGUCUUGUG
RNAcentral lists this long non-coding RNA (983 nucleotides) under Amborella trichopoda. RNAcentral describes it as "long non-coding RNA (ATRI_LNC004535)". The record is from RNAcentral. Lineage: Eukaryota; Viridiplantae; Streptophyta; Magnoliopsida; Amborellales; Amborellaceae.